AUUUCUUAACAGUUGCCGGUUUUCCCCUUGUCUGUGUUUGGCUGUGGCGUGGGCAUGCAUCGCUAACAGGACAACGAUUGCUGCUGCGUCCGAGGGCUACGAGUUUGUUUGUGCGUGCUUAAUUAUGUGCUAAGAUACAGGAGCCGGUGAACGUGGUACCAGUGUUGUGGGGUUAUUUGACGGGGGUUACUCUUCUGCACUGCUUGAGGUGAAUUAGAAGUAGACCUAAUGAGCACCUUCACAUUUAUUAUGAAUUGCUGUGUGUGUGCCUGCGUGUAUGCGAUGUGAUUCUAGAUAUUGGAGCACUGGGAGUGAUUUGCUGUGUUGACCUCCCCUCCCCCACUUCUCCAGGUAACUAGUCACUGGUCCAGUUUUCCAUUAGUGAAAUUUAGUGUCAUACAAUUGUGACAGCCAGU
Sardina pilchardus (European sardine) is the source of this 416-nucleotide long non-coding RNA. RefSeq lists it as uncharacterized. Lineage: Eukaryota; Metazoa; Chordata; Actinopteri; Clupeiformes; Clupeidae. The transcript is spliced from 3 exons. The record is from RefSeq and is a predicted model, not a curated record.